Molecule: long non-coding RNA, 8512 nt
Filed under: Coffea arabica (coffee)
Lineage: Eukaryota; Viridiplantae; Streptophyta; Magnoliopsida; Gentianales; Rubiaceae
Description: long non-coding RNA (CARA_LNC006755)
Source: RNAcentral
GUUAUGUUUAGUGACAGAAAUUUUCGAGCUGAAUUCGAGCCAUUUCGAGCUCUUGUCGAGUUGAGUAAAUCGAGCCUUAUCGAGUCGAACUCGAGCCAGCUUCUUACUUAUUCGAGUCGAGCUCGAGCUCGAGUGUACAGUAGUCGAGCCUGACUCGAUAAGUUCAAUGUUAGACUCGGCUCGGCUCGUUUGCACCCCUAGUUUCAACAAUACUCCAAGCUAGUAGUACUCAUAGCUAAAAUUUAUUAGACACCUAUAUCCAAUGCCAUAAAGACCCCAAACCAAGCAGUUGAAAUUCAAAGGAUGAGUUUGAUCAAAUUGACCAAUUUUUUGGUUAAAAAAAUCAGACAAAUAACUUAGUAUAAAACGACGGGGAAAACCGGAUAUAAUUUCACCUGCAACACUCUUCCCAUUAUUCAAAGCCACGUUUUUCAAUUAUUACCACUCACAUACCCACAUACGUAAGCUGCCCUCCCCCUUCAACCCCUUCCUAUCACCCCCCAAUAGCCCACCCCUUUCCCCGUUAUACAAAUACCCCGUACUAUUCCUUGUUACUCUGACUUUUUUUCAGCUUCCUAUGUUCUUCGUCCUCUGAGGUAUGCCCUUGGAUCUAUAUAAUUUUUUCCAUUAGCCAUUUUGAAUGAAAGAUUGGGGCUUUUUUAAGUUGCCUGAUUGGAUUUUUUUGUUUAAAAAUUCCCUGUUGCGAGUGGUUUUAGUUUUAAUUGUCUGUUCUGGGCUAAUUCUUGAUUAAAAUGUUGAGGGUUAGUAAACACGACGAAUACAAACGGAUUAUAAAUUGAGAUGGGCUUUUCUUAAUUGGGUGUAAUUUGUUAUAAAGAUUGGAUUUUUAUUAUAUGGUUCAUGUUUUUCUUUCAUUUUUCUACUAUAUGCGCUUACUUCACAUAUCUUCUUGAUUUUGCAUUGCAAAUUUAGGGUUAAUGGUCGAGCAUGUUUGCCGCAUUUUACAUCAGGAAGCAGAUGUUCUAACGGUUCAUGUUCACUUUACAUGUUCGUAGGGUUUCCAACCGACUUUCAAGCGCGAAUCAAUUUUACACUUGAAUACUCCGCCUUUUAUCGUCAUUUUCCUCCUCUUAUUUCUCUAUUUCAAAAGCCCUAGAAAGAGGCCAAUAGGUGAAAGAAAGAACAGGAAAAUUAUACAAACCAGAGAAGAAUCAAUUCCAUGGCUGCAUCGGGUUCGGUGGUGCCGGCAAACAGGACCCGUCGAGGUCCGGCGCUUGACGCCGGCGAUGAGUCGCUGGUGUUCGAGACGACCAGGGGUGUGGAGCCCAUCAUGACCUUUGACGCAAUGGGCAUAAAAGAUGACUUGUUGAGAGGGAUUUAUCAAUACGGCUUCGAGAAACCCUCCGCUAUUCAACAAAGAGCUGUGGUUCCAAUUAUAUCUGGCCGUGAUGUCAUCGCUCAGGCUCAAUCCGGAACUGGGAAAACCUCAAUGAUUGGCCUAACCGUCUGCCAAGUCGUUGACACCAAAUCUUCUGAGUACGUAAUCUAAUUCGUAAUUACAAUAGCUAGGGCUAAGGAGUUGAGUUUUGGAUUUUCUUUUGUUUAAUCUUUUAGGUUACUCUGUUUAAUUUGGUUGCCCUUGCUUAUUUAAAUUUGGUUUGUUUAAGAUAUUGGAGAAAAUUUGUAUAGCAGUAUUUUAUGAUUUCAAACUUUAGAACACUGGUAUAGUAUUAAUUUUUUUUUUUAAUUUGCAGAGCGGACAAACAUAUUUAACCUAUAGGGCGUGACAAAAUUAUGAAACAGGCUCGCUCGGAGCCCUAAUUGAUAAACAGGCACAGUUUUUGUCUUUAUGGACCUUAUAAAGUAGCAAUAGAUAAAUAUGGCUUUACGCUUGAUGAAACAGGCACAGCGGGGAGGACUCUAAGAGCCCUCCUUGGCCACUAGGCAGUGUUUUGAUGGUGCCAUUUUUUAUUUUAUUGGUUGGGGUGCUUCUUGUUUUGUUUGUUUCUUUUUCUUGUUGCAGCUGUUUGUUGUUCAAGCUGAAAGUUUAAGUUGAGAUGUUUGUGGUUGAAAGUAAAAUGUUGAAUUAAAAGAAAAAAGAAGGUUAAAAGUUAUAUAUGGGCAAAAAUUUUAUUUGGUCACAUUGGGGUAUAGCGCUUGUGUUUUGUUUGUUUGUGCUUUUUCUUGUUUUCUGCUGCUCAAAAUAAUCUUUUUCCAAGAGAAGUUUAAUUGUGGGAAUAAUAUCUUACAUAGGGAUUUGGAAUAAUUAUUUUGUUUUCCAUCAUUUAGGGUGCAAGCCUUGAUAUUAUCACCCACAAGGGAAUUGGCAGCACAGACAGAGCAAGUGAUACAAGCAAUUGGUGAAUUCAUAAAUGUACAGGUGCACGCAUGUAUUGGAGGCAAGAGUGUGGGAGAGGAUAUUAGGAAGCUAGAACAUGGGGUUCAUGUGGUGUCUGGGACGCCUGGCAGAGUUUGUGAUAUGAUAAAAAGAAGAACACUCCGAACAAGGGCUAUUAAGUUGUUGAUUCUUGUAAGUUAAUAUACUUCUCCUUUUUAUACUUCUGACCUGUUAAUUGUGAGGCUGUUGACCAGAGUCUGACUGCAUUUUUUGUCUUUCUUAUUUCUGAAACAUUUUUAGGAUGAAUCAGAUGAGAUGUUGAGCCGUGGGUUUAAGGAUCAAAUUUAUGAUGUUUACAGAUAUCUUCCUCCAGAACUUCAGGUAAGCACACUUCUUGUAGGGUAACCCCCUUCCCUUAGUUGUCAACAUUCUCAUAUGUUAUGGGAAAAGAGAAUAUGUUGCUUGCUGUCCAAGAAUUGGCAUUGGUUAGCUAUGCUCGAUUUAUCUGUAUUGCUAGUCACUAACUUUUUACUAAGGGUGGUGCCAGACAGAUCCUAAGAUAAUUAGUAACCUUCUAGAGCUUAUUGACUGAGAGGCUAUAAGGAAAGUAGUAGUUUUUGAGGAGAGUAGUUUGCUUUUUCAGGGUUUGGAAUCAUUGCAUGUUUUUGUCAAACUAAUCUAGUCAAAUGCAUUUUACAUCGUCGAGAGUGCCAUUAAUGCUGCAGUUUUACUGCAGCAAAUUUUUAUUUAUCUUUUAUUGGAAUUAGGAGAUUUUUUGGUUUCUGCGCAUUAUCUUUUUUUUCUGUUUAAGGAUACUCAUUUGCGGGAAAGAGAUAGAUUGUAUUAGUGUCUGAUAUGCGGGGAAAACAAAUAAAAUUACUUGCAGGAUCAAUUUUAUAAGCUUCUUCUAAAUGGUGCUUCUAUUGGGGAUGUGAAUGUGGAUCCGGUAUUUAUGCUAAUCAUUCAGCAGACUAAGCACUAUUUCAUCAAUUGCAGGUCGUAUUGAUUUCUGCUACCCUUCCGAAUGAGAUUUUGGAGAUAACGAGUAAAUUUAUGACAGACCCUGUUCGGAUCCUUGUGAAACGUGAUGAAUUGACUCUGGAGGCAAGUCAUAGUUUCGAAGUUCUACUUAUUGUGAAUAAUUAUUUUAUCAUUAAUAAGUAGGUAAUUAAUUUUUUUUUGGCGGUUACAAUGCUGUAGGGGAUCAAGCAAUUCUUUGUUGCUGUGGAAAAAGAAGACUGGAAAUUUGAUACCCUAUGUGAUCUUUAUGAUACCCUAACCAUCACCCAGGCUGUUAUUUUCUGCAAUACAAAGAGGAAGGUAACAUUAUUAUUUGCAUCUCUUUCCUAAGAUCGACUAUGUUACUGUGUUGCCUUUGUACAAGAGGCACUCUGAAAGUUAUGGAGAUAGUGUAGAAACUUUAGUUACUUUUGCUGAGAAUGAAGUUUGAUAUUUCAAUCAUAUCUACCCUUGUUGUUUUCUUUUUGUUUUUCUUUAUGAGAAAUAUAUAUUUAUCAACACUCGAAUGUGUGGUUUUCUUUUCCUGGAGUAGUAAAGCCCAAGUCAGAUUUAGAGCAUUAAGUGUUCUCCUGAAGCCAUUAUUUUUCCUCAUUUGCCAAUAGGUCUUAGCAUAACCUCCAGGGCCUUUGGCAAAGAGAUAAGUUUUUCUCAAGUAGUUGAAAAUGUGUUCUUAUGAACUCAAAAUUUGAAGAGCUAAACUAAGAAUGUGUUGCCAAAUAAAUAUAUAGUCAGAUCCACCUUAGACAAAUUAUUAUCACAGCUGCAAAAAUUUAGGAUGUUGAGGUCUUGCAGGCUGCUGUUUGGAGGGAAAGAAUUAUUUCUUUCUUUGGUUUUUUUACUUUUUUUUUUGGUGGGUUUUGGGGGAGUUACGAAACAUUGAUAACUGAAGUCUAUAAAAUGUCCUCACUGGUGUUUUGGUGAAAAGGCUUUUUCUUCUUGAGUAGUUGAAAAGACAACCAAAAUGGACUAUCUGGUUCUAAAUCUGUAAUAGUGAAACCCUAUUUCAGUGGAUAGAAUGGUUGUGAAGUUUUGGAUGUUAACAUCUACAUUAGCAGAAUGAUACUUGUCUGUAGGCAUGAAAUCAGUGUUUGUGGACGAGAAGCAUUACUUAGAGGUUCGCCAAAAUUGUUUAAUUUAACAUGAUUUAUGACAUGACAGGUUGAUUGGCUAAGUGCAAAAAUGAUAGAGAAUAAUUUCACGGUCUCGUCUAUGCAUGGAGAUAUGCCUCAGAAGGAGCGAGACGAAAUUAUGAAACAUUUCCGAGAGGGUAAUACUCGUGUUCUUAUCACAACUGAUGUUUGGGCAAGGGGCCUUGACGUUCAACAGGUAAAAUUUAGAUUCCACAACCAGCAAUUCCCCUGCCAGCCCCAGCUCCCCCCUCCCCUGCGGGCCCCAAAAAGCCCUCCUUUCAUCUUAUUCUUUCUUUUGGAUUUUACAUUUUGGAGCUAGUUCUUUGUCCCUUUUUUUUUAUUUGUCUGCAUGAUUUUUCUCAAAUGCUUAACCUUGUAAGUGGAAAUUCACGUGUAGUCUUUUGCUCAGUUUUCCCACCCGCUUAUGGAAAUAGUGAUUGUGGAAAAAGUUGGUUAAUAUUCGAAAGCAUGUUUCUUUGGAAAGCCAUAAUCUGUCACCUUGUCCAUCUCCUAAACUGUCACCAGUUUUUAUCAUCUUAUAAUAAACAGCUAUAUUAAGCUUAUUUUGUGCGACUAUGAAAGGCCAAACUUGUCCAGGUGUAAAUUCGGCUAACAGAGCAAAAAACAAAUGAGGGUGGAGUCCAUGCUUAUCUGCUCACCCUCCUUUACUGUUUGCCUUUUCUUUCUCUUUUUGCAGUUUUCCUCCUGUGGGAGUCUUUUUGUUUGCAUUUGCGAUGGUGUUGUCAAAUUGAUUUUUGUUGUGCUUUGCAGGUAUUUUUAGCUGGAGUUAUUUGAUUUGAUUUGUUGCAAAAUUAGGCACAAUUGUUUGAUGUGCAUCAUUAGAUACAAAAUUAUCUUGACAUUUUCAGAUCAGGACAUAAGUUGCUCCAGAUACCUCUCUAGGUUAAAGUGAAAUUCAGAAUCUCGGUCAUAUAUUCAAAUCAUUUAUUGUGAGCUUUCCAUCUAGUUGAACGGAAACUUAUCUAGUUUUAUAGCAUUGGACAGUAUUUUUUUUCUUUGAAUGUUAUUCAUUUUAAUGUUAUUUACAAUUGGUAGACAUGGAUAUACAGUCAACAAAGGUUUAUGCAUGUAUGAUGUGUUUAUGGAGGUUGAGUAGCUGCUGCUUUUUUGACAUUGUACAUGUAAUGUAUGUGGGCUGGGUAGCUUCUUUCUUUAGAGUGCAGACUCCAUUGAACAUGGGCUUGGCAUGCAUUGCCCCUAAAACUCUUGAUUGAGUCACUUGUCUGCAUUUGACUUUUUAUCCAUAACCAAUUGGCCAAGCAUUACAGAUCAUGAAGUCUGGUGGAGCAAAUCAUCUGGAUUAUCAUGUUAAAUUUUAGCCAAGCAUUAUGGAAUUAUUAAUUCUUUUUAGUAAAUAAAGUGCAUUAUUGAGAGCCCCUAAAACUCUUGAUUGAGUCACUUGUCUGCAUUUGACUUUUUAUCCAUAACCAAUUGGCCAAGCAUUACAGAUCAUGAAGUCUGGUGGAGCAAAUCAUCUGGAUUAUCAUGUUAAAUUUUAGCCAAGCAUUAUGGAAUUAUUAAUUCUUUUUAGUAAAUAAAGUGCAUUAUUGAGUUGAAUAUUCUAGGAUUAUAUAUAUGGUCCUUUAUAAGUGCUGGAUGCUUCCCCCCUCCCCUCCACAUUUUUAUGUUGAAGUGGAGUUCCAUUUCUUUUGGAUUCCUCUUGGUUUGCACAACCAUUUUGGUGUCAGCAGCUCAGUAGACCAUUGUAUUACAAGCUACAGGCCCCAUCCAUAGCCAACCUAUCUUAUCCAUCCUUUCUAUCCAUCUUAGCCUUUUCCUGGCUAUCUCUGUUAGCUGUCUUCCUCACGUGGCAGCCUCUAUUGUGGCCCCAUCAGCACUUGCAAGUGUUGUAAGCAUCUCAGUCACCUGGUCUAGCAACUAGUCCCACCAUUCCCAGCCUUCAUAUGCAAAAAAUGAAGGAUUAUUUGCCAUAAAUCAUCAGUGGCAAUCUUUAGUUCAAGAAACUGGAGCCAAUUAAAUAUGAUGGGGAAGGGGUUCUGGGAAUUGCUUGGCUAGAUUAUUUUUCAGACGAUUCUUAGUAUGUUUCUAAGUGAUUACUGUGCAUUAUGCAUAAAUUCAGAUCUUGGAUACGAAAUCACUGUGUGCAUGUCAUUUGCAUGUUUGUUGCAGCUUUUCCAUGUUGAGUUGAUGGAACCUAACUUUUUAGUAAUUGCAUAAAUUGUAACUAGAUAAUAGGUUGCCUGGAAUUACACUUGGACUUAGCUUGGAAGUACAUCUUGUUCAAUUAAGAGAUCACUCAAAGAAGGUUUGUUAAACAUAUCUGGAAACCCAGAAAUAUAUCUGGAAAUUGUCCCUCUUCCAUGAGUUUUAGGUUUAUGUGGAAUUGCAUAAUUCUUGAAAUGCAUAUGUUUCAAAGUAUAGCUUUUUUUUAAGAAAGAAUUUAACAUUAUUCACUCUGGGGCCAGUCUCACAUAAUUGACUACUUUAAGCUAGGCAAGCUUUUAAUCUUUCAAAUUCUGAGUAGCUAUUAGGGACUUAUGCUUGUUUAGCAAACCUGGGAUUUUGCAUUGACGGGCUUAAGCCAAUAAACAUUCUGAGGCUUCAAUAUUCCGUGACAAUAAUUCGAGCUUUCUUCUAGUAGUUGUGCACCUUUGUUGGAAGUUUCUUUUUAUAAAUUUGUAGUUUCUCCUCCUAGAGAUUUUUUUUUCAGGUGUUACGAGGCUUGUCGUAAAUAAACCACCUUCUUAGAGGAGCCUGUUUGGAGAUUGAUAUGUUUUUCGGUAUAGAGCUUUAUGGUAGGAGAUUGUAUAUUUGCUUGUAUGAGAUUUAUAGGUUUUCUGUAUUUGCAUUGUAUUGUCACUGCGCUCUAUUGGCCGCAUUUACUUCUUCAUAGUUAAUGCGAUUCUCUUUUUGUUUGUCUUGGUACAUGGCUGGAGUCUGGUUAUGAGCAGUCUAAUUUUCUUGUGUUUAUUUAAUUUGUUUAAGGUGUCCCUAGUGAUUAAUUAUGACCUUCCCAACAAUCGAGAACUUUACAUCCAUCGGAUCGGUCGGUCUGGUCGUUUUGGGAGAAAGGUAUUUCCUGUCCUUUCAAGGAACUGCUUACAUUGCAAUGCUAAUUUUCCAUAUCCAAUAUCCCUGUUAUAGAUUUUUAGAUAUUAGCGUGUUAUAAGUGCUGUAAGAUAAGUGAGCGCAAGAAUGGUGUACAGUUUCUUAUUUUACUAUGUCCAGAAGGGGAAGAUCUGUUGCUUUUCUUUCGAUUUCUGCUCAGAAUAUCUUCUAGUUGAUCUAUUCUGUUGUCUGAUUAUGUACUCUGGAAUGGCAUGCAAAGUGGUUUUACAAGGUUUGUGCUGGGAAUGGGCUGUCAAAGUUAUGUGGGUACUAUUGGAAAUAAUUGUGUGAAGUUUUAUUGUCGUGGUUCUUACACAAUUAGUUUCUAUAGUGAAUUCUGUAAUCUUAAAAUUGUGUAUAGAUGAGUAUAUUAAACGUGCGUCUCUACAGUACACACACUACACCUAAUUUGCAAGUCAAAGGGAGAAAAUAAUAUCUGGACAGUUGAAUAGAGUGUAUCUGUGUUAUAGAGUAAGCAUCAAGUUUUCACUUUGUUUUUUGUCUGCACACUAUGAAAAUAAGUUGUAUGUUUGCAAUGAGUUGUAGAAUGGUUAUUUUGAGCCUCAAAUGUCCUCUUCACCGAAUAGCCUUAACGUACUCAUGUUGUUUUGGCUUCAGUGUCACAUAUAUUAUUCAAUUUAAAUGCUUUUUGUGGAAGGAGAUAGCAACAUGCACAGAGUACCCCAUUUUAAUUUAUUUUUUGUGAAUAUCAGCAUUGCGCAUGUUCAGUGCAUGAACUUCCUACCUCAGCUUUGUUCCUCUUAAUACCUAUACGAACUUGCAAGACCAGUGUGAUUUUGUCCAUGUGUCUAGUAGAUUUCUGCUGAGGCAAUGCUGCUCUGUGCUCAUAAAGACUAUAAACGUCUAGCCAACCUUCUUGCUAAGUGAAUUAGGGAGCAUCAAAAGUUAAAAAGUAAAAACAGAUUCAGUGAGGCUUAUUAGAUGCAAGUUGCUAGAAACUUUCAUGUUGAUA